Schizosaccharomyces pombe (fission yeast) is the source of this 298-nucleotide non-coding RNA. Lineage: Eukaryota; Fungi; Ascomycota; Schizosaccharomycetes; Schizosaccharomycetales; Schizosaccharomycetaceae. The record is from the annotation of a GenBank genome assembly.
AGCAGCAGUAUGCGAGAUACAAAUGUACGAGAAAAAGCGAAUAGAAGGGCAAAGCGAAAGCGAAAAUUGCUCACGAGGAAAAAAGAGUGAAGAAUUGUCAUGUAGAAAGUGUCGGUAAGCGAUUUUAUUCGUUCGAGAUGACAAGAAAUGCUUGAUUAGCUUGUCUAACGAAAAAUUAAUCAAACAGUAACUUCCUUGACGACCUUUUUAAUAACAAGCAUACAGUAGAGACAAGAGUAAAAUGGUCAUAAAACAAAGAUGAAUUGAAAACAUGAAUGGGUGUAAAAACAUUGAAAAC